GACGAACGCUGGCGGCGUGCUUAACACAUGCAAGUCGAACGAUGAAGAAAAGAAUCGAAGCUUCGGCAGAAAUUCAUUUCGGAUUAGUGGCAGACGUGUGAGUAACGCGUGAGCAACCUACCUCUUACAAAGGGAUAGCCUCGGGAAACCGGGAUUAAUACCAUAUAACAUUGCGACGAAGCAUUUCGAUGCAAUCAAAGCUACGGCGGUAAGAGAUGGGCUCGCGUCCCAUUAACCGGAUGGUGAGGUAACGGCUCACCAUAGUGACGAUGGGUAACCGGCCUGAGAGGGUGAACGGUCACACUGGAACUGAGACACGGUCCAGACUCCUACGGGAGGCAGCAGUGGGGAAUAUUGCACAAUGGAGGGAACUCUGAUGCAGCGACGCCGCGUGAGUGAUGAAGGAAUUCGUUUCGUAAAACUCUGUUCUAUGGGAAGAAAAGGACUGUACCAUAGGAGAAAGCUCCGGCUAAAUACGUG
This 480-nucleotide ribosomal RNA is filed under the name uncultured bacterium. RNAcentral describes it as "partial 16S ribosomal RNA". It matches the Rfam family "Bacterial small subunit ribosomal RNA", at positions 28 to 507 of the family's 1533-position model. The record is from RNAcentral.